CUGCUUACUUCAGCAGCACAUUUACUAAAAUCGGAGUGAUACCAAGAAGAUCAGCAUGACCCCUGCACAAGGAUGACAAGCAAAUUUGUAAAAUGUUCCAUAUUUUU
Pteropus vampyrus (large flying fox) is the source of this 107-nucleotide small nuclear RNA. The record is from Ensembl. Lineage: Eukaryota; Metazoa; Chordata; Mammalia; Chiroptera; Pteropodidae.